Molecule: ribosomal RNA, 2926 nt
Filed under: Salmonella enterica subsp. enterica serovar Newport
Lineage: Bacteria; Pseudomonadati; Pseudomonadota; Gammaproteobacteria; Enterobacterales; Enterobacteriaceae
Also listed under: 3 other names
Description: bacterial LSU rRNA
Rfam family: Bacterial large subunit ribosomal RNA
Source: RNAcentral
GGGUUGUGAGGUUAAGCGACUAAGCGUACACGGUGGAUGCCCUGGCAGUCAGAGGCGAUGAAGGACGUGCUAAUCUGCGAUAAGCGCCGGUAAGGUGAUAUGAACCGUUAUAACCGGCGAUUUCCGAAUGGGGAAACCCAGUGUGACUCGUCACACUAUCAUUAACUGAAUCCAUAGGUUAAUGAGGCGAACCGGGGGAACUGAAACAUCUAAGUACCCCGAGGAAAAGAAAUCAACCGAGAUUCCCCCAGUAGCGGCGAGCGAACGGGGAGGAGCCCAGAGCCUGAAUCAGCAUGUGUGUUAGUGGAAGCGUCUGGAAAGGCGCGCGAUACAGGGUGACAGCCCCGUACACAAAAGCGCAUGUGUUGUGAGCUCGAUGAGUAGGGCGGGACACGUGGUAUCCUGUCUGAAUAUGGGGGGACCAUCCUCCAAGGCUAAAUACUCCUGACUGACCGAUAGUGAACCAGUACCGUGAGGGAAAGGCGAAAAGAACCCCGGCGAGGGGAGUGAAAAAGAACCUGAAACCGUGUACGUACAAGCAGUGGGAGCACCCUUCGGGGUGUGACUGCGUACCUUUUGUAUAAUGGGUCAGCGACUUAUAUUCUGUAGCAAGGUUAACCGAAUAGGGGAGCCGGAGGGAAACCGAGUCUUAACCGGGCGUUAAGUUGCAGGGUAUAGACCCGAAACCCGGUGAUCUAGCCAUGGGCAGGUUGAAGGUUGGGUAACACUAACUGGAGGACCGAACCGACUAAUGUUGAAAAAUUAGCGGAUGACCUGUGGCUGGGGGUGAAAGGCCAAUCAAACCGGGAGAUAGCUGGUUCUCCCCGAAAGCUAUUUAGGUAGCGCCUCGUGAAUUCAUCUCCGGGGGUAGAGCACUGUUUCGGCUAGGGGGCCAUCCCGGCUUACCAACCCGAUGCAAACUGCGAAUACCGGAGAAUGUUAUCACGGGAGACACACGGCGGGUGCUAACGUCCGUCGUGAAGAGGGAAACAACCCAGACCGCCAGCUAAGGUCCCAAAGUCAUGGUUAAGUGGGAAACGAUGUGGGAAGGCCCAGACAGCCAGGAUGUUGGCUUAGAAGCAGCCAUCAUUUAAAGAAAGCGUAAUAGCUCACUGGUCGAGUCGGCCUGCGCGGAAGAUGUAACGGGGCUAAACCAUGCACCGAAGCUGCGGCAGCGACACUGUGUGUUGUUGGGUAGGGGAGCGUUCUGUAAGCCUGUGAAGGUGUGUCGUGAGGCAUGCUGGAGGUAUCAGAAGUGCGAAUGCUGACAUAAGUAACGAUAAAGCGGGUGAAAAGCCCGCUCGCCGGAAGACCAAGGGUUCCUGUCCAACGUUAAUCGGGGCAGGGUGAGUCGACCCCUAAGGCGAGGCCGAAAGGCGUAGUCGAUGGGAAACGGGUUAAUAUUCCCGUACUUGGUGUUACUGCGAAGGGGGGACGGAGAAGGCUAUGUUGGCCGGGCGACGGUUGUCCCGGUUUAAGCGUGUAGGUGUGUGUUCCAGGUAAAUCCGGUUCACUUUAACACUGAGGCGUGAUGACGAGGCACUACGGUGCUGAAGCAACAAAUGCCCUGCUUCCAGGAAAAGCCUCUAAGCAUCAGGUAACAUCAAAUCGUACCCCAAACCGACACAGGUGGUCAGGUAGAGAAUACCAAGGCGCUUGAGAGAACUCGGGUGAAGGAACUAGGCAAAAUGGUGCCGUAACUUCGGGAGAAGGCACGCUGACACGUAGGUGAAGUGAUUUACUCAUGGAGCUGAAGUCAGUCGAAGAUACCAGCUGGCUGCAACUGUUUAUUAAAAACACAGCACUGUGCAAACACGAAAGUGGACGUAUACGGUGUGACGCCUGCCCGGUGCCGGAAGGUUAAUUGAUGGGGUCAGCGCAAGCGAAGCUCCUGAUCGAAGCCCCGGUAAACGGCGGCCGUAACUAUAACGGUCCUAAGGUAGCGAAAUUCCUUGUCGGGUAAGUUCCGACCUGCACGAAUGGCGUAAUGAUGGCCAGGCUGUCUCCACCCGAGACUCAGUGAAAUUGAACUCGCUGUGAAGAUGCAGUGUACCCGCGGCAAGACGGAAAGACCCCGUGAACCUUUACUAUAGCUUGACACUGAACAUUGAGCCUUGAUGUGUAGGAUAGGUGGGAGGCUUUGAAGUGUGGACGCCAGUCUGCAUGGAGCCGACCUUGAAAUACCACCCUUUAAUGUUUGAUGUUCUAACGUGGACCCGUGAUCCGGGUUGCGGACAGUGUCUGGUGGGUAGUUUGACUGGGGCGGUCUCCUCCUAAAGAGUAACGGAGGAGCACGAAGGUUGGCUAAUCCUGGUCGGACAUCAGGAGGUUAGUGCAAUGGCAUAAGCCAGCUUGACUGCGAGCGUGACGGCGCGAGCAGGUGCGAAAGCAGGUCAUAGUGAUCCGGUGGUUCUGAAUGGAAGGGCCAUCGCUCAACGGAUAAAAGGUACUCCGGGGAUAACAGGCUGAUACCGCCCAAGAGUUCAUAUCGACGGCGGUGUUUGGCACCUCGAUGUCGGCUCAUCACAUCCUGGGGCUGAAGUAGGUCCCAAGGGUAUGGCUGUUCGCCAUUUAAAGUGGUACGCGAGCUGGGUUUAGAACGUCGUGAGACAGUUCGGUCCCUAUCUGCCGUGGGCGCUGGAGAACUGAGGGGGGCUGCUCCUAGUACGAGAGGACCGGAGUGGACGCAUCACUGGUGUUCGGGUUGUCAUGCCAAUGGCACUGCCCGGUAGCUAAAUGCGGAAGAGAUAAGUGCUGAAAGCAUCUAAGCACGAAACUUGCCCCGAGAUGAGUUCUCCCUGAGACUUAGAGUCUCCUGAAGGAACGUUGAAGACGACGACGUUGAUAGGCCGGGUGUGUAAGCGCAGCGAUGCGUUGAGCUAACCGGUACUAAUGAACCGUGAGGCUUAACCUUACAACGCCGAAG